UUGCACAGAGAACACCCAAGGAUGCUAACGUAGCUCUCCCUGGAUUCCUAUAUCUGUGCUACAGUAACUUUGAUCUGUACCUCUGCAUUAGGGGAGUACUAUCUCCCCUACAUGUAUUCAGCGGAUCAGGAUAAUC
Small nucleolar RNA from Lampris incognitus (smalleye Pacific opah), 136 nucleotides. RefSeq annotates it as small nucleolar RNA SNORA22. Lineage: Eukaryota; Metazoa; Chordata; Actinopteri; Lampriformes; Lampridae. The transcript has a single exon. The record is from RefSeq and is a predicted model, not a curated record.